AGGGUCCUUUACCGUCAAGAGAUAGCGGCACCGUCGAUUUUCAGGGGGGAACCGUUCUGAUGAGGAUAUUUUUGAAAAUAUAGCGAAUAUUAUAAAAAAUCGACGGAAUACGCGUAGAUAAUUUUUUUCUUGAAUGGUUGACGUAUAAAUCAUUGAAAUCCGUGAUGUUUAGCGAGCGAAAUUAUGCAGACCGUUUUCGGACACUUGCAAAACGGCAACGCUGCCGUCUUGGUGAUAUGUUUACACUCCGGUUCCAACCUACAAUACAAACAUGUAUUUUUGAUAGUCCACAAAAUUUUAACUUGAUUAAUUACAAUUGUGUCGUGGAAGUAGUCUUAGAUUGUUAAUUUAUCGAAAAUAAGUUAUUAUGCUACAGUUCUUUUCCUGGUGGCUCAGUUCAGUCUGGUUCAGUCCACGUUUUGACCAUUCGGUACCUCUAUUGUCACCGUGCAACCUGUCCAUCAGUUGGCAUAAUGAAGAAAAUAUGUUUUGAGGUAAGUUGAUAUCUGCUUUUCCACCUAAAACUUGGCUCAUGGUUACAUAAUUCCACAUACUCUGAUAACAUUUCAGUUGGAAUCUCUAAGGACGAACGAGUUAUACCAUUGACAUUGCCCCUAAAUCUGGAAGUUGAAUUCCAUCGAUCGAAGCUGCUGUUUUGACCUGAACACACGUCUAUUUUUGUUGCCAUGUGUUUAUGUUACUGUUUUUUUUACACAAAUUAGAAUUCACACUUAACCCUGUACUAAAAAAUACAGUGUAGGGUGAAUAAUUCAUGAUCUUAAUCCAAACAAGGAAAUCAUCCGUUGAUGAGAUGAACCCUUCUGGCAGUGCUUAUCUGGAGAGUAAAGCAUAACGCCUGAGGCUCAAAGGGCUUGAGGGUGUUGGACAGUAAACCCCGUAGUAUCCAUGAAACUGCAAUUUCAUGGUUAAACUCCCAGAGCACGUUUCUCUGUUUGCGACGUAGCAGACUUCCUGUCAUACUUUAUUUCUUAACUGGAAAACUAUUCAGUGUCACUUCUUGAAAAUUUCUGUGACUUUUCUCUUCUGCGCAAAGAAAAUUCUGUGAAAACCUCAAAGAAUGACAUUGAUUUUUUCUCCUCAUUAAAAAUAAAGUGGGAGCAGAGAUUUUUAAACACUGCAAACGAGAUAGGUGCUUUGGGAGUUUCAUCGUCGAAAUGUUCCUAUCCAGACUAGAACUGUCAUGUGACAAAGCACUAUCAGCAUCUAGCACCUGCACCUUUCGUAAUCUGUUUCUGUGCUACUAGCAAUUGACCCAUCGUACUUUUCUCACAACUGAGGUUCUGCAUGUACGAAAGAAUUUCCAGUAAAGAUUGAAGAGAAAUUAUGUGCCUGUGAGGCGUGCCUGUGGCUCUUGGUUCCUAAAUUAUUUAUUAGUACCUAGGCAUUGUUGAUUGCCGCAUAACCUAAGCAUGACCAAUUAUCACCUUGGAAGAGCAUUUCAUCAAAUUGAGCUUAGGGACCAAGAUAUGAAAAUAAGAGCACCAAGGGCUCAGGCAAGCCAGUUUAGUUUCUCAGAUUUCGUUCUUACUUGUUGUGCUGGGUCAUUAUCGCUCAAACAAACUGGAGCGUAUUAAACGGUAUGUUUGUUUCUUCCAAGGGAACAAUUAUUGAGAAAAAUCAUGUAACAUUGCAAGAACCUACAUUUUGGGAGCUUGUCAGAUCCAAUCUCAAAUAAAUAUGUGUUAAUAAAUUAAAGAUUUCAAUUGUUGUGUUCGAUCAGAGCAGGAAAACAAAGAAGAUAAUAAAAGUAUGAUUUCAGAUGUCUAUUUUUCCUCACUUUAAAAAUUUGCUGGAAUGAGGUAGUUACAAAUAAAUGGUUGGCGACUAGGUUUAGCUAAAUGUCCCUCUGUGCCUGUUUUCCACAUAAGACGGGGCAAAAACUAUAUUUUUCAGUUUCAAGAGAGCUCUUCAAAAAUUCUAAUUCUAACGAUAAAAUCUCCUGCAUCAACAAUGGAGAAGUUACACAGAUCUAUAUGUAUAUUUGAAGAUAGAAAACUGCAAUUUUAUGAAAUUUCAUUCUAGAUGAACAGCCUGAAAUCUAGGGAAUUUUUUUUUCAACAGAUAAAAUUUGUACAUCAAGUGUAAAUAGAAUCUGAGAGCUGAGGGGUCACCACCUCUUUGAAUUGACCCAUUAUACAAUUCAAAUGCAUGGGAUACAGGAUAAUGCUGUUUAAUUGUCUGUUUUCAGUUUUUUGGAGCGCUUCCUACACCUCAGCCUGCUCCUCUUUAUUCUGGAUUCAGAAAGUGGCUACUAUCCUAUGACAUGGCUGUCAGUUUCUCAUUUGAGCAGUCAAGCGAUAGGAAAUUAGCAGCAACUAAAAAUCAUCUGGUUUUGAGAACUUCACCAUGAGUCACCUCAAAACAAAAUCAUCACAAGAAGUUGUAGUGUGUUCAGAGUAAAUAAACAUAUACCUAGUUCUCCUAAAUUUUUCAUCUGUGACCAGAAAUUAUCUAAGAAAUUUAAAGUGGCGUGAAGUUCGAAUAGCCACCCCUUACAUUCAUUCCUCUAAUUCUAAAUGAGAAAAUAAAUGAAAGUGAAAGUGCUGUGUUUAAAGUAUCCUAAGUACCUUCAUUGGUGUUUUUUGCGCUCCUUUUAAAGUUGAGGAAAAAUUAUGUGUUUCUAAAGCUUUUAUUAAUGGCUGUUUACUUGAAAACUAUGUUAAAUGUGGUUUUAGCCCCCCCCCCUCCCCCCCUCGGCCACCAUUUAUCUGCAGAAUAUUAACAAUCUCUAGAAAUUAAACUAUAAUUAUGAUGCUAUUUCUUCACUGUCUUCUUUUUUUUCCCCCUUUAGAGUUAUGUUUAAUUUAGGUGGAAAUGAUGCCAAUGAUAUUGAUCAAGUGUUACCUUCUUUGUGACAAUUUAUAUUGUUCCUUUUUUUCUUUCUUAUUCUUAUUCUAAUAUGUUUCUAGUUUCACUGUUACCAAUACCAAGUUAAGAUAAAGAGCAUUAACUCGCUGUGAUCAUUGUUUCUUUUUAAAUUGACAUAGCAUUAAUGCUUGUUUAUGGCUAUUAAGUUGAAAACCAUGUUUAUUUCGGUAAUGCUCCCCUUCCCCUCCACUUUUUCACUGGAAACGGAACUGACGUCAUUUCUGCUCUUAAUUUUCUUUUUUAAAGUAUUUUUGGAGGUAACCAUCUAGUAUUCAUCAAGUAUUUUCUCUUCCAAGUAAUAUUUUAAUAAUGAGUACUGAGUUUAAUAUCUAAAACACUGUUCAAUGAUGUAAGCCUUCAUUUUCUUUGAUACACAUCUUCUGUUUACGUUCUAAAUUUUAUGCUUUAUUAUUUUAGUGUUUCAUUAGUUAUACCUUUCUGUAAUUUUAUAAAAAAACUAACUUUCAAUUUGUUUCCCAUGAUAACACUGUGUCAUGGAAACUUUUUAUUCAAUUCUCAUGCUUUUAAGGAAAAAGGCAUAAUUAGAAAAUAUGUUUAUCAUUGAAUUACGAUCUAGACCUUCAACCAUCUUUUGCAGAAUUUGCUCUAAAGUAAUUUGAUUAGAUUAGAUAGGAGCAAUGACACUGUACUUUUUCGACGAGUGAUUGUAAAUAAAUUUCAGUGAUUAUUUCAACCACCUCUUGCUCAAUUGUUUCCACCAGGCGUUGAAUGUGUUUUGCCGCAUGCAUUGCUGGUUUUGGCUAGAAAUCAUGCAUAACCUGGCUAUUUCUGGAAGCAUUCAAAUUCAUCUCAACCAUUUUCUUGUAGCCGAUGCAGUCUCAACCACGGCUAUAUAUGUUGUGACCUCACCACCUCCAGGCACUCCGCUCCCGUCAACCACAAGGACCACAUUACUCGUCCAGCGGACAUCAUGCAGCCGGCCGGCUUGCCCCAUUCCAUCGGCCCUGUUUAGGGCCACUACUCUAGAGCACCUCCUCUGGUCUUUGGCCGUAGACGCAUUGGAAACGUUUUAAAGACGAGAAGGGAAGAAUAAAAAGUAUAAACUGUUGAAAAUCCGUGGGCAGCACGCAAGUACCCUUCACAAAAACUGUUAUAACUUCGUCAAUUUUUGUCCGAAUGGAGUGAUAUUGAUUUUAAUCAAUAGAAGAUGAUUAGAUCUCUAAAAUGAGACCAAGAACACA
Non-coding RNA from Bemisia tabaci, 4091 nucleotides. NCBI's taxonomy places the organism in Eukaryota, Metazoa, Arthropoda, Insecta, Hemiptera, Aleyrodidae. The record is from RefSeq and is a predicted model, not a curated record.